Molecule: ribosomal RNA, 403 nt
Filed under: uncultured Porphyromonadaceae bacterium
Lineage: Bacteria; Pseudomonadati; Bacteroidota; Bacteroidia; Bacteroidales; Porphyromonadaceae
Description: bacterial SSU rRNA
Rfam family: Bacterial small subunit ribosomal RNA
Source: RNAcentral
UGGGGAAUAUUGGGCAAUGGGGGAAACCCGUGACCCAGCAACGCCGCGUGAAGGAAGACGGUCCUACGGAUUGUAAACCUCUUUAGCCGGGGAGUAAAGUGCGUGACGGGUCACGCAUUGAGAGUACCCGGAGAAUAAGCAUCGGCUAACUCCGUGCCAGCAGCCGCGGUAAUACGGAGGAUGCGGGCGUUAUCCGGAUUUAUUGGGUUUAAAGGGUGCGCAGGCGGCUCGUCAAGUCAGCGGUGAAAGCCCGGGGCUCAACCCCGGUAAGCCGUUGAAACUGGCAAGCUGGAGUUCGGGCGAGGCAGGCGGAAUGCGCGGUGUAGCGGUGAAAUGCAUAGAUAUUGCGCAGAACUCCGAUUGCGAAGGCAGCUUGCCAGCCCUGGACUGACGCUGAGGCACG